GGCCUAACACAUGCAAGUCUAGGGGGUGUAGCAAUACAUCACCGGCGGACGGGUGCGUAACACGUGGGAAUAUACCUUUUGGUUCGGAACAACGCAGGGAAACUUGCGCUAAUACCGAAUGUGCCCUUACGGGGAAAGAUUUAUCGCCAAAGGAUUAGCCCGCGUAGGAUUAGCUAGUUGGUGAGGUAAUGGCUCACCAAGGCUCCGAUCCUUAGCUGUUCUGAGAGGAAGAUCAGCCACACUGGGACUGAGACACGGCCCAGACUCCUACGGGAGGCAGCAGUUGGGAAUCUUGGACAAUGGGGGAAACCCUGAUCCAGCCAUGCCGCGUGAGUGAUGAAGGCCUUCGGGUUGUAAAGCUCUUUUACCCGGGACGAUAAUGACGGUACCCGUAGAAGAAGCUCCGGCUAACUUCGUGCCAGCAGCCGCGGUAAUACGAAGGGGGCUAGC
Molecule: ribosomal RNA, 450 nt
Filed under: uncultured bacterium
Lineage: Bacteria
Description: bacterial SSU rRNA
Rfam family: Bacterial small subunit ribosomal RNA
Source: RNAcentral